Eutrema salsugineum is the source of this 677-nucleotide long non-coding RNA. RefSeq lists it as uncharacterized. The transcript is spliced from 4 exons. Lineage: Eukaryota; Viridiplantae; Streptophyta; Magnoliopsida; Brassicales; Brassicaceae. The record is from RefSeq and is a predicted model, not a curated record.
ACACGACCUCUCUCUCUCGUUUUUUUCCGGAGAAAACGAUGUUCAGUCCCUUCAAAUUGCAAAACACCAAAUUUUUGAUGCAUGUCGAAUCGAGUUGAGUCUUCGUUUGGAGGUGAUGAAGGUGUGCAAAAAUCUGGAUUUAGAGAGCUCUGCAUCGAAGGAAAUCCGGGUUCGAGAAGGUGGACAUCCGGGAUAGCUCAUCGGCUUUCACGGCGGAAAGAGGCGGCGGUUAUGGUGGUUUUUGCUCCCCUGAAUAGGAAACAGAGCAUAAUAGAGGAGAAUGUGAUUUGGAGAAGAAGCCAGAGGUGAUACUAAAGAAGAGGAAGAAGAGGGUUUAGAACCAGAAGAAAGAAGAAGCUCCUACAGAUGUGCAUGAUUUCAGGGCCAAGGGAUGUUGUCGGAUGACCACCAAUAAGGACUUGAAAAUGAAGACUUUGGUGCAGCACAGCUUUAGUGCAGCAAAUAUGAGCAUAGAAAACCAUCUUUUGGUGUAGCAAAGCUUUGGUCUCCUUAUUUUGUCUAUGUUUGGCUCUCAUUGUAUGGUUGGUUUUGUUUUGUAGUCUUGUCUAUUUUGGUGUUUUGUUUCACGGGUCAUUGUUUCUGGUGUAGCAAAGCUUUGGUCUUUUUCUAUUCGUCUUCUCUAUAUAUAUGUUUGAACCAAACUCCAAAACUUUAUA